RNAcentral lists this ribosomal RNA (247 nucleotides) under uncultured bacterium. Its description in RNAcentral is "partial 16S ribosomal RNA". It matches the Rfam family "Bacterial small subunit ribosomal RNA", at positions 57 to 305 of the family's 1533-position model. The record is from RNAcentral.
GCAAGUCGAACGAACUUAUUUAUAAGUUAGUGGCGAACGGGUGAGUAACACGUAAGGAACCAACCCUUUACACGAGGAUAACUACUGGAAACGGUAGCUAAUACUGGAUAGGACAUGACUUCACAAGGAGAGAUGUUUAAAGUGGCUUUCGGGCCACAGUAGGGGAUGGGCUUGCGUCGCAUUAGAUAGUUGGUGAGGGUAACGGCCCACCAAGUCAACGAUGCGUAGCUGAGCUGAGAGGCUGAAC